Molecule: non-coding RNA, 242 nt
Organism: Pelobates cultripes (western spadefoot toad)
Lineage: Eukaryota; Metazoa; Chordata; Amphibia; Anura; Pelobatidae
Source: the annotation of a GenBank genome assembly
CUCCACCCCCCAAAAUUAUACGAAUGUGCACGUGACAUCACAACGUCAACGCACACAAACGUUUUGGUGUCAGAGGUCACCCUCUGACCAAUCAGAACCUAGAGAGGGAUAUCUAAAUCCCUAAUUCACCCCAGUACCUUGCCCUGUCGUGGUUUCCUGUUCCUGGUUUCCUGAGAGUACGUUUUUCCUUGUGAUAUUGUUAUUCUGGUAUUCUGAUCUUGGCUAUUCCUGGUUAUUCCGAU